GAGGAGCCCGCGGCUGAUUAGCUAGUUGGUGAGGUAAUGGCUCACCAAGGCAACGAUCAGUAUCCGGUCUGAGAGGACGGUCGGACACACUGGAACUGAGACACGGUCCAGACUCCUACGGGAGGCAGCAGUGGGGAAUUUUUGGCAAUGGGGGAAACCCUGACCAAGCAACGCCGCGUGGGUGAUGAAGUCCCUUGGGACGUAAAACCCUUUCGACGGGGAAGAAACCGCAAGGUUGACGGUACCCGUAGAAGAAGCCCCGGCUAACUCCGUGCCAGCAGCCGCGGUAAUACGGGGGGGGCAAGCGUUGUUCGGAAUUACUGGGCGUAAAGGGUGCGUAGGCGGUUCAUUAAGUCGGAUGUGAAAACUCUGGGCUCAACCCAGAGCCUGCAUCCGAAACUGGCGGGCUAGAGUUCUGGAGGGGGUAGCGGAAUUCCUGGUGUAGCGGUGAAAUGCGUAGAUAUCAGGAGG
RNAcentral lists this ribosomal RNA (471 nucleotides) under uncultured Acidobacteriota bacterium. Its description in RNAcentral is "bacterial SSU rRNA". It matches the Rfam family "Bacterial small subunit ribosomal RNA", at positions 224 to 704 of the family's 1533-position model. Lineage: Bacteria; Pseudomonadati; Acidobacteriota. The record is from RNAcentral.